RNAcentral lists this ribosomal RNA (404 nucleotides) under Actinomycetes bacterium. Its description in RNAcentral is "Actinobacteria bacterium partial 16S ribosomal RNA". It matches the Rfam family "Bacterial small subunit ribosomal RNA", at positions 355 to 776 of the family's 1533-position model. Lineage: Bacteria; Bacillati; Actinomycetota; Actinomycetes. The record is from RNAcentral.
UGGGGAAUAUUGGACAAUGGGCGCAAGCCUGAUCCAGCCAUGCCGCGUGAGUGAUGAAGGCCCUAGGGGUGUAAAGCUCCUUUUCCGGUGAAGAUAAUGACGGUAACUGGAGAAGAAGCCCCGGCUAACUUCGUGCCAGCAGCCGCGGUAAUACGAAGGGGGCUAGCGUUGUUCGGAUUUACUGGGCGUAAAGCGCACGUAGGCGGACUAUUAAGUCAGGGGUGAAAUCCCGGGGCUCAACCCCGGAACUGCCUUUGAUACUGGUAGUCUUGAGUUCGGGAGAGGUGAGUGGAAUUCCGAGUGUAGAGGUGAAAUGCGUAGAUAUUCGGAGGAACACCAGUGGCGAAGGCGGCUCACUAGCUCGAUACUGACGCUGAGGUGCGAAAGCGUGGGGAGCAAACAGG